GCGCAUGUCCAGCCGCCAGGGAGAUUAGGCGUUUGUAACCAGACUUCUUUAGGGGAUCCAGGACUAAGCCGAGGAAGGUGUUUCUGAACCUCAGGGAAUCUGUGGCCACUGGCAAGCCAGCGGAAAAUUCAGGUAUUUUUCCCUCUCCACCCUGGUCUUCUCCUGUAACGUGUGGCCGCCUUUUCCAGCACGGCCUCCUGCCUUCCUGGUGCACUUUUUGGAGAACGUGGUGGAAUCAGAGGUUUCUGGCUGACUCGGUGG
Molecule: long non-coding RNA, 261 nt
Filed under: Homo sapiens (human)
Lineage: Eukaryota; Metazoa; Chordata; Mammalia; Primates; Hominidae
Description: long intergenic non-protein coding RNA 511
Source: RNAcentral